AUCGGAAGGUCGUGAGAGGGAAAUGUCUCGUCUUGCUGAAGGCUACAGCUGCUGCGUGCAUGAAAUAAAUCACUGCUUUCAGCUCUAAUCUGACCAUGAACUUGGAAAAAUAAAAGACAAGCUUAUGGCACAUAAUUUCAUCAGUUAAAAACAGUUGGUUUUGAAAGCAACAAACAUCCAAAUCUAAGCUUCCUGUGUCGGCUCGGCUGUUGCUACAUGUGGAAGAGUCACGGAGGGCUUCCUCUGCAGAGGGAAAAGGUGAUGCUGAAGAAUGCAGGGAAAGCAGAGACAAAGGUCCAGGAGGAGUGGAAUGUAACGGCUCGACCGAUCAGAUGGACGUGCAAAACUGAGUGAAAGCACCUCCAAGAAGCACACACCCACCAGAAGAUGUACAAGACGGGGACGGAGACUGCAAUCAGAUUAAAAGGGGACCGGGAUGAACGAUCAAGGAGAGAUGAGGAGACGAGCGUCCCUAAGAAUAGAAUACAAAUGGAGUGAAGGAGAGUGCGGCGGGGAGGUGGGGGCGGCGAUGGGGGAACCGAAGACCUGCAGGGACAUGAAUAAAAGAGGGAGCGAAGACGAGGGAGAUCUUUCCCGACAGCAGGACUGUGAAUGGAAGUGGCUCGURUCGUACCGUGAGACCAAGGCCUGUUCGCCACCCUGAACGAUGUCUCUUUGAGGAAAAGGAAAUGCAAUGGGGCUGACACACGUAAAAGUGCACACACAGAUUUCAAAAAUGAGAAAAUCGGCUCACAGUGUGAACUCCCACUGCUCCCACAUCGUAUUUCACAACCAUGUCAUCUUACAUGACCUCAAUUAACCACAAAGGCGUCAAGGCUACUUUCUUCCUCUCUGUAGCCUACUGACCGCUUCAGAGAGACACCUUUAAAAUUUCAGCACUUAUUAGAGAAAGAUUAAACUUAUAGCUAGCAGUGUCAGCUCAACCUUGUGAAGAACAAAGAAAAUGAAGCAGAAACCAAGUUAUUUUGGUGCCCAAAUCAAACCCCCAAGACAAAGACAUCAAGGUCUCAAAUGAGACUCAGAAGAAACUGGGAAUGCAUAAAUGUGGGUCAAACGUGAAAAAAAAUAGUGACACUCGUGUCAAAUCUAUCUCUUUGGCAUGACAUCAUUAGGAUUUUUUUCCACAGCCACCGCUCCGACCUCCAACUGACUGCAGAAACACUGGAGCAUGGAGCCGAAUGAUUAAAACUCUGGUUAUGCUUGACAAGACGUAAGACAUCAGAUUUUGCUAAUUGUGAGUCUUUUUCACAUGGACGCUUCAUACUUAAAUGGAAACUGUGAGUGAGAAGUCCUGGUAUGUCUUCACACUGCAUCACACACCUACAGCAACACACACAGAAGGUUGGCAAAGUGGAUGUUUUAUUUUCCRCUGAUGAUGAAGAAAUAUCUGGUAUCAU
Long non-coding RNA from Austrofundulus limnaeus, 1418 nucleotides. RefSeq lists it as uncharacterized. Lineage: Eukaryota; Metazoa; Chordata; Actinopteri; Cyprinodontiformes; Rivulidae. The record is from RefSeq and is a predicted model, not a curated record. The transcript has 3 exons.